RNAcentral lists this ribosomal RNA (253 nucleotides) under uncultured bacterium. RNAcentral describes it as "partial 16S ribosomal RNA". It matches the Rfam family "Bacterial small subunit ribosomal RNA", at positions 524 to 776 of the family's 1533-position model. The record is from RNAcentral.
UACGAAGGGUGCGAGCGUUAUUCGGAUUGAUUGGGCGUAAAGGGUGCGCAGGCGGAAUGUUAAGUCAGCCGUUUAAUUUCUCAGCCUAACUGAGAGUCGGCGGUCGAUACUGGCAUUCUUGAGGAUGGAAGAGAGAAGUGGAAUUCUCGGAGUAGCGGUAAAAUGCGUAGAUCUCGAGAGGAACACCGAUGGCGAAGGCAGCUUCUUGGUCCAUUUCUGACGCUCAUGCACGAAAGCGUGGGGAGCAAACAGG